This 372-nucleotide ribosomal RNA is filed under the name uncultured bacterium. RNAcentral's name for it is "bacterial SSU rRNA". It matches the Rfam family "Bacterial small subunit ribosomal RNA", at positions 441 to 793 of the family's 1533-position model. The record is from RNAcentral.
AGGAAGGUAGUGUAGUUAACACCUGCAUUAUUUGACGUUACCUACAGAAGAAGCACCGGCUAACUCCGUGCCAGCAGCCGCGGUAAUACGGGAGGGUGCGAGCGUUAAUACGGAAUUACGUGGGACGUAAAGCGCAUGCAGGCGGCCUGUUAAGUCAGAUGUAGAAAGGCCCGGGGACUUUAACCGUACGGUAAUUGCUAUUUAGUAAACUGGCGAGGCUAGAGUCUUGUAGAGGGGGGUAGGAAUUUCAGGUGUAGCGGUGAAAUGCGUAGAGAUCUGAAGGAAUACCAGUGGCGAAGGCGGCCCCCUGGACAAAGACUGACGCUCAGAUGCGAAAGCGUGGGGAGCAAACAGGAUUAGAUACCCUGGUAG